UACGUAGGUGGCAAGCGUUGUCCGGAAUUAUUGGGCGUAAAGCGCGCGCAGGCGGUCCUUUAAGUCUGAUGUGAAAGCCCACGGCUCAACCGUGGAGGGUCAUUGGAAACUGGGGGACUUGAGUGCAGGAGAGAAGAGUGGAAUUCCUGGUGUAGCAGUGAAAUGCGUAGAUAUCAGGAGGAACACCGAUGGCGAAGGCAGGUCUCUGGGCUGACACUGACGCUCAUGCACGAAAGCGUGGGGAGCAAACAGG
Molecule: ribosomal RNA, 253 nt
Filed under: uncultured bacterium
Lineage: Bacteria
Description: partial 16S ribosomal RNA
Rfam family: Bacterial small subunit ribosomal RNA
Source: RNAcentral